RNAcentral lists this ribosomal RNA (253 nucleotides) under uncultured bacterium. RNAcentral's name for it is "partial 16S ribosomal RNA". It matches the Rfam family "Bacterial small subunit ribosomal RNA", at positions 524 to 776 of the family's 1533-position model. The record is from RNAcentral.
UACGGAGGGUGCAAGCGUUAUCCGGAUUCACUGGGUUUAAAGGGUGCGUAGGUGGGCAGGUAAGUCAGUGGUGAAAUCUCCGGGCUUAACCCGGAAACUGCCAUUGAUACUAUCUGUCUUGAAUAUCCUGGAGGUGAGCGGAAUAUGUCAUGUAGCGGUGAAAUGCUUAGAUAUGACAUAGAACACCCAUUGCGAAGGCAGCUCACUACGGGAUGAUUGACACUGAGGCACGAAAGCGUGGGGAUCAAACAGG